GAUGAAGAACGUAGCGAAAUGCGAUACGUAAUGUGAAUUGCAGAAUUCAGUGAAUCAUCGAAUCUUUGAACGCACAUUGCGCCCCUUGGUAUCCCGAGGGGCAUGCCUGUUCGAGCGUCAUUUCACCACUCAAGCCUGGCUUGGUGUUGGGCGACGUCCCCUUUGGGGACGCGCCUUGAAACGCUCGGCGGCGUGGCACCGGCUUUAAGCGUAGCAGAAUCUUUCGCUUUGGAAGUCGGGGCCCCGUCUGCCGGAAGACCUACUCGCAAGGUUGACCUCGGAUCAGGCAGGGAUACCCGCUGAACUUAAGCAUAUCAAUAAGCGGAGGA
This 329-nucleotide unclassified non-coding RNA is filed under the name soil metagenome. RNAcentral's name for it is "partial contains 5.8S ribosomal RNA, internal transcribed spacer 2, and large subunit ribosomal RNA". The stretch from base 1 to 120 matches the Rfam family "5.8S ribosomal RNA", at positions 35 to 154 of the family's 154-position model. The record is from RNAcentral.